CUCGGCCUGCCAAAGUGCUGGGAUUACAGGCGUGAGCCACCACGCCGGGCCUUUCCCCGGGAAUGCUGUGGUAGAGGGACCCGCAGAGGCCCCGAGGCUGCCUGCAUGUGUGUGUUGGGAGGAUCUGCGCUGAGGGUGAUUCCUGCGUGGAUGCCUGCGGGGAUUCCUGCGUGGAUUGGGGAAGUCCUGCAGCAUUACAGAAUUGUUACCCAACGCCAGGGCCUUGGUCCAGAGUCCUGUUGCUAGAUGCACAGAAAGCAAAUCACUGAGAUCUGGGUCAGGGCUUGUCUGAUGUGGGGAAAGCGGACUGCCCCCAGUGGAUUCAGACGUCACUUCAUGGCAUGAGACCAGCAUUACCCACAAUGGCAGUGGCAGCAGAUGGAGGAGAUGGAGCAGAAGGCAGCAGAGGGCGUCCCAGGUAGUACGGGCAAGCCACCUUGUGCAUGACUUGUGUCUUAGGUGUGACUGUGUGUCCUGGGAUCAGUUCUGGGUGGUCAGAAAAGUUUGAAGCCAGAUGACUCCACUGUCAAAAAACCUCUGUAGAGUUUUCUAAAGGUGAAAGUAUCCAGAUGAAGCAGGGCUCCUUGAAGGAAUGGCUGCUUCUGGAGUUGGAGCAGGGGAGAUACAAGAUGAGCCUGGAGCUGCUUGUAGCACCAGAGGGGAAGGAGGUGGUCACAACCCAAGAGGCUGGGACAUCUUACAUGGGCUUCUGAGCCCGAGCCUCAGACAAACCACACGACCUUGGAUUACAGCCCCUGGAGUCAAAUAAAUAUACCUGAGUCCGUAGUGACCUAAAUAAACAAUUCAAGAGAUGAAUCUUUCUUACAGAAUUCCAGGAAAUAGAUGUAGAUACUGCUGUUAGCCAAGAAUACGGUAUCCAGCUAAGACUAUGCUUCGUAGAUGAAGAAAUAAAGCCUUUCCCAGACAAGCAAAGGCUGGGGGAAUUUAUCACUACUAGAUCAGUCCUGCAAGAAAUGCUCAAAGGAGUCUUAACAUAAAAACAAGUUGGUAUUUGCCAUAAUACACACAAAAGUACAAAACUCACAGGCCCUAUAAAACAAUCAUACAAAGGAGGAAGAGAAAGGUAUCAAAUGGCAAUACAACAAAAUUCCACCAAACCACAAAUGGAAUAAGAAAAGAAUGUAUAAAAUAACUAGAUAAUAACUAACAAUAUGAUAGAGCAGCAUACAGCUUAAUUACCUCCACCUGGUGAGGGUGGGGUAGGCUUAGAGACUUGCUUCCAAAUAAUAAAGAAACAAACAAUAGUAGCUUCCCAGGGAAACCCUGGCAGAUACCGUCCUGACCCGGUAGUGAAGGUUCCACUCACUAGCCACGUGUGCAUCUCAGGUGCCCCAGAUGUGGUGUGAGAGGCAGGCUCACCUCUGUGGGAUUCUCUCCUAAAACCAGUAACCUUUCUUUAAUCAUGAGAAAUACACCAGAUGACCUGAGGCUGGGGAUGUUCUACAGGAGACCUGUCCAGCACUCCUUAAGCUGAGAGGGUUAUUAAUGCAAGGUGGGACCCUGGCUUGGAUCCUGGGGCCGAAAGAGGAUGUCAGUGGAAAAACAGCAAAAUCCAAAUAAAGUCUAGAGUGUAGUUAAUAGUAAAGCACUGCUGUCACUUUUUUUUUUUUUUUAUGGGUCAGGAGAUCCUUCCACCUCAGCCUCCCGAGC
RNAcentral lists this long non-coding RNA (1671 nucleotides) under Homo sapiens (human). RNAcentral describes it as "HSALNT0363465". Lineage: Eukaryota; Metazoa; Chordata; Mammalia; Primates; Hominidae. The record is from RNAcentral.